AAUUAACUAAAUGAACUAAAGUGAAAAACAAAAUCUGAAUGUGUAUGGUUCAUAAAUACAACAGAAAGCACUUUUUGAUUGCGGUUUUUGAGUUUUGAUUCCAUGUAUUAUCUUUAUUAUUGAUUGAGUAUUGUUUAAGUUGAAUCAGUUCCACUAAGAAACAAACAGUACAAAACUUUGUAUUUUUAAAGAGAUGAAUUUUAUCUCGAUUGUUUGUUUACAACUUGUUACCAAGGUUUGCCGUUCCCCAUUUUUAACGCCUCUCCAUUAUAUAACGUUGUUCAGAUAAAUUUUAGUUUGACAAAAAUUUUAAAAUGACAAAAAGAGUUGCCGUUGUCACUGGAAGUAACAAGGGCAUUGGAAUUGCUAUUGUUAGAGCAUUAUGUUCUAAAUUCGAUGGUGAUGUGAUUUUGACCUCUCGUGACGAGAAGCGAGGAAGAGAUGCAGUGGGGCAACUGGAAAAAGAAGGCUUACAUCCGAAAUUUCAUUUACUUGAUAUAACUGACGAGGAAUCUAUUAAAUCAUUGGCCUCUUUUAUUAAAGAACAAUAUGGAGGACUGGAUGUAUUAGUUAAUAAUGCUGCUAUUGCAUAUAAAUUUGCAGAUAAAACUCCUUUCCCUGAGCAAGCUAUGAACACAGUGAAAGUUAAUUUUUUUGCUACAUUAAAUGUGUGCCAUAAGCUUUUCCCUUUACUAAGAGAACAUGCAAGGGUCGUCAAUUUGAGCAGCUCAGAAGGACAUAUUAAUAAGGUGCCUAGUAAAGCUUUGCAGGAAAAGUUUUUGUCAAAAUCCUUAACAGAGGAUGAACUUUGUAGCUUAAUGACACAGUUUGUUGAAGAUGCAAAAGCUGGUAUUCAUAAACAAAAUGGCUGGUGUGGUUCUGCAUACCAAAUGUCAAAAGUUGGACUGACAGCUCUAACAUUUUUGCAGCAUCGUAAAUUUUCAGAAGAACCUGAAAAAGAUAUUAUCAUAAAUGCUGUUCAUCCAGGCUAUGUAAACACAGAUAUGACUAGUCACAGAGGCCCUUUAAUACCAGAUCAAGGUAUAUAAAUUAAGGAAAUUAAUAAAAAUUUAGUGCUGAGGCUCCUGUAUACUGUGCACUUUUACCACCUGGCGUAGAGUCUCCUCGAGGAGAGUUUAUCUGGAAUGACAAAAGAAUUGUUCCCUGGCUUCCUUAAUUAUCUACUAUGGCAAAUACUUCGAUGAGCUAUGAAGAAUUGAAGAUAAUUCUGCAAAAUAAUUACAUGAAAUGAAAAUUGUAUUAAUUAUCUAUUAUUAAUUAUCUUUUACUUUCACUUAUACCAUACCAAAUGAGAUUGUAAUAUUUGUUUUACGUUUUUAUAUUUAUAUAUAUAUAUAUUUUUUUUAAAUAAAUUUAUGUUGAAAGUUAA
Non-coding RNA from Parasteatoda tepidariorum (common house spider), 1390 nucleotides. NCBI's taxonomy places the organism in Eukaryota, Metazoa, Arthropoda, Arachnida, Araneae, Theridiidae. The record is from RefSeq and is a predicted model, not a curated record.